RNAcentral lists this ribosomal RNA (942 nucleotides) under uncultured Bacteroides sp. RNAcentral's name for it is "bacterial SSU rRNA". It matches the Rfam family "Bacterial small subunit ribosomal RNA", at positions 137 to 1081 of the family's 1533-position model. Lineage: Bacteria; Pseudomonadati; Bacteroidota; Bacteroidia; Bacteroidales; Bacteroidaceae. The record is from RNAcentral.
UCUUGGCCAGCCUUCUGAAAGGAAGAUUAAUACAGGAUGGCAUCAUGAGUCCACAUGUUCACAUGAUUAAAGGUAUUCCGGUAGACGAUGGGGAUGCGUUCCAUUAGAUAGUAGGCGGGGUAACGGCCCACCUAGUCUUCGAUGGAUAGGGGUUCUGAGAGGAAGGUCCCCCACAUUGGAACUGAGACACGGUCCAAACUCCUACGGGAGGCAGCAGUGAGGAAUAUUGGUCAAUGGGCGAGAGCCUGAACCAGCCAAGUAGCGUGAAGGAUGACUGCCCUAUGGGUUGUAAACUUCUUUUAUAAAGGAAUAAAGUCGGGUAUGCAUACCCGUUUGCAUGUACUUUAUGAAUAAGGAUCGGCUAACUCCGUGCCAGCAGCCGCGGUAAUACGGAGGAUCCGAGCGUUACCCGGAUUUAUUGGGUUUAAAGGGAGCGUAGAUGGAUGUUUAAGUCAGUUGUGAAAGUUUGCGGCUCAACCGUAAAAUUGCAGUUGAUACUGGAUGUCUUGAGUGCAGUUGAGGCAGGCGGAAUUCGUGGUGUAGCGGUGAAAUGCUUAGAUAUCACGAAGAACUCCGAUUGCGAAGGCAGCCUGCUAAGCUGCAACUGACAUUGAGGCUCGAAAGUGUGGGUAUCAAACAGGAUUAGAUACCCUGGUAGUCCACACGGUAAACGAUGAAUACUCGCUGUUUGCGAUAUACGGCAAGCGGCCAAGCGAAAGCGUUAAGUAUUCCACCUGGGGAGUACGCCGGCAACGGUGAAACUCAAAGGAAUUGACGGGGGCCCGCACAAGCGGAGGAACAUGUGGUUUAAUUCGAUGAUACGCGAGGAACCUUACCCGGGCUUAAAUUGCACUCGAAUGAUCCGGAAACGGUUCAGCUAGCAAUAGCGAGUGUGAAGGUGCUGCAUGGUUGUCGUCAGCUCGUGCCGUGAGGUGUCGGCUU